Molecule: ribosomal RNA, 497 nt
Filed under: uncultured bacterium
Lineage: Bacteria
Description: partial 16S ribosomal RNA
Rfam family: Bacterial small subunit ribosomal RNA
Source: RNAcentral
GACGAACGCUGGCGGCGUGCCUAAUACAUGCAAGUAGAACGCUGAAGCUUGGUGCUUGCACCGAGCGGAUGAGUUGCGAACGGGUGAGUAACGCGUAGGUAACCUGCCUGGUAGCGGGGGAUAACUAUUGGAAACGAUAGCUAAUACCGCAUAAUAGUAGAUGUUGCAUGACAUUUGCUUAAAAGGUGCAAUUGCAUCACUACCAGAUGGACCUGCGUUGUAUUAGCUAGUUGGUGAGGUAACGGCUCACCAAGGCAACGAUACAUAGCCGACCUGAGAGGGGGAUCGGCCACACUGGGACUGAGACACGGCCCAGACUCCUACGGGAGGCAGCAGUAGGGAAUCUUCGGCAAUGGACGGAAGUCUGACCGAGCAACGCCGCGGGAGUGAAGAAGGUUUUCGGAUCGUAAAGCUCUGUUGUAAGAGAAGAACGAGUGUGAGAGUGGAAAGUUCACACUGUGACGGUAUCUUACCAGAAAGGGACGGCUAACUACGUG